This 222-nucleotide long non-coding RNA is filed under the name Elaeis guineensis (African oil palm). RNAcentral describes it as "long non-coding RNA (EGUI_LNC064310)". Lineage: Eukaryota; Viridiplantae; Streptophyta; Magnoliopsida; Arecales; Arecaceae. The record is from RNAcentral.
GGGUGGAGAAAUGAAAAUCUAUAUGUGAUCGAUUUCAAGUGGGUACUACGGUCCUAUAAAUCUAUACACACCUUACCUAAUAGUUAUUGAUGAGUACAGACCAAUAAGUGGACAACACUUUGUCCCUUGCUUCACUAAGCAAGAUGCAGUUGCUUGGUCUCUAAGUCCUAUGGCCUCACCUAAUAGUUAUUAGUACAUUUCUUAGUUAAGUCAGAUCCAUCG